Molecule: long non-coding RNA, 184 nt
Organism: Candoia aspera
Lineage: Eukaryota; Metazoa; Chordata; Lepidosauria; Squamata; Candoiidae
Exons: 2
Source: RefSeq, a predicted model, not a curated record
UGGUUGAGGAUAUUGUGGAUGAAACUGAGAAAUUUAACAGCAACAGAAAUGUCUUUUCUAAGAGUGAGAUUGGGACUUCUGUUGAAAUGCUGGAUGAAGAUGGGAUAGUCGAGUUGAAGAAAUUUAAGGGAAAGAUCGAAGAAGUCAGAGUUUUUGAGGGGGGCAGUUGGGCUGUUCAAUUUUU